RNAcentral lists this transfer RNA (68 nucleotides) under Necrodes littoralis. RNAcentral describes it as "tRNA-Cys". Lineage: Eukaryota; Metazoa; Arthropoda; Insecta; Coleoptera; Silphidae. The record is from RNAcentral.
AGUCUUAUAGUCAAACUAAAAAAAUGAUUUUAAAUUGCAAAUUUGAAGGUGGGUAAUCCCUAAGGCUU